UCGUCCACCUGCUGGGGGCAGAUGAAAUGGAUAUGGGAGUCGAUCCCGCCGGCGGUGAGGAUGCUCCCUUCACCGGCGAUCGCUUCGGUAGCCGGGCCGAUGAUGAUAUUGACCCCCGGUUGUACGUCGGGAUUGCCGGCCUUGCCGAUGGCCGCGAUACGUCCGUUCUUGAUCCCCACGUCCGCCUUGACGAUACCCCAGUGGUCGACGAUCAGGGCGUUGGUGAUCACCGUAUCCACCACCUCCUGGCUGGGUCGCUGACUCUGGCCCAUACCGUCCCGG
RNAcentral lists this small RNA (282 nucleotides) under Sedimenticola thiotaurini. RNAcentral's name for it is "5' ureB small RNA". It matches the Rfam family "5' ureB small RNA". Lineage: Bacteria; Pseudomonadati; Pseudomonadota; Gammaproteobacteria; Chromatiales; Sedimenticolaceae. The record is from Rfam by way of RNAcentral.